CGACGGGUGAGUAACACGUAUCCAACCUGCCGUCUACUCUUGGACAGCCUUCUGAAAGGAAAGAAUUAAUACAAAAUGGCAUCAUGAGUCCACAUGUUCACAUGAUUAAAGGUAUUCCGGUAGACGAUGGGGAUGCGUUCCAUUAGAUAGUAGGCGGGGUAACGGCCCACCUAGUCUUCGAUGGAUAGGGGUUCUGAGAGGAAGGUCCCCCACAUUGGAACUGAGACACGGUCCAA
Molecule: ribosomal RNA, 236 nt
Filed under: uncultured bacterium
Lineage: Bacteria
Description: partial 16S ribosomal RNA
Rfam family: Bacterial small subunit ribosomal RNA
Source: RNAcentral